GACGAACGCUGGCGGCGUGCUUAACACAUGCAAGUCGAACGGAGAUUUUAGCAAUAGAAUCUUAGUGGCGAACGGGUGAGUAACGCGUAGGCAAUCUGCCUUCUAGAUGGGGACAACAUCCCGAAAGGGGUGCUAAUACCGAAUGUUGUAACGACUUCGCAUGAAGUUGUUACUAAAGGUGGCCUCUGAAUAUGCUACCGCUAGAAGAUGAGCCUGCGUCGGAUUAGCUAGUUGGAGGGGUAACGGCCCACCAAGGCUUCGAUCAGUAGCCGGUCUGAGAGGAUGAACGGCCACACUGGGACUGAGACACGGCCCAGACUCCUACGGGAGGCAGCAGUGGGGAAUCUUCCGCAAUGGACGAAAGUCUGACGGAGCAACGCCGCGUGAGUGAAGAAGGUUUUCGGAUCGUAAAGCUCUUUCGUUAGGGACGAACGUGCUCUUUGUGAAUAAUGAGGAGUAAUGACGGUACCUAAAUAAGAAGCCACGGCUAACUACGUGCCAGCAGCCGCGGUAA
RNAcentral lists this ribosomal RNA (514 nucleotides) under uncultured bacterium. Its description in RNAcentral is "partial 16S ribosomal RNA". It matches the Rfam family "Bacterial small subunit ribosomal RNA", at positions 28 to 523 of the family's 1533-position model. The record is from RNAcentral.